Molecule: non-coding RNA, 75 nt
Organism: Myotis lucifugus (little brown bat)
Lineage: Eukaryota; Metazoa; Chordata; Mammalia; Chiroptera; Vespertilionidae
Source: Rfam
GACGGUUCAUGGGUGACACACCCCAGAAUCAAACUUCCUCCUCUCUGGUUCUGGGUGCGUCACCCUAGAACCGCA